CAGCAGCCACGGGAAUACAGAGGGUGCGAGCGUUAAUCGGAUUUACUGGGCGUAAAGCGUGCGUAGGCGGCUUUUUAAGUCGGAUGUGAAAUCCCUGAGCUUAACUUAGGAAUUGCAUUCGAUACUGGGAAGCUAGAGUAUGGGAGAGGAUGGUAGAAUUCCAGGUGUAGCGGUGAAAUGCGUAGAGAUCUGGAGGAAUACCGAUGGCGAAGGCAGCCAUCUGGCCUAAUACUGACGCUGAGGUACGAAAGCAUGGGGAGCAAACAGGAUUAGAUACCCCGGUAGUCCCUGUCUCUUAUAC
RNAcentral lists this ribosomal RNA (301 nucleotides) under uncultured bacterium. Its description in RNAcentral is "partial 16S ribosomal RNA". It matches the Rfam family "Bacterial small subunit ribosomal RNA", at positions 509 to 807 of the family's 1533-position model. The record is from RNAcentral.